GACUGAAAUCCAACCCUCUCCUUCCAUGACAGAUAAUUUCCAAGAGCUUUCUGCAAUUCCACACGCUUGAAAGGUCCAGGGGAAAGCCAAUGCUCAGGCGGGCCACGAUUUAAGAGAUAAACUUUCACUCUUUGUUGGAGCUCCUUACUGUCAAGUAAGUUAAUUACAAUGCGCAAAGCAUGUGGAUCAUCAUCACGGUCAAUA
Molecule: unclassified non-coding RNA, 204 nt
Filed under: Hevea brasiliensis (rubber tree)
Lineage: Eukaryota; Viridiplantae; Streptophyta; Magnoliopsida; Malpighiales; Euphorbiaceae
Source: RNAcentral